This 494-nucleotide ribosomal RNA is filed under the name uncultured bacterium. Its description in RNAcentral is "partial 16S ribosomal RNA". It matches the Rfam family "Bacterial small subunit ribosomal RNA", at positions 28 to 507 of the family's 1533-position model. The record is from RNAcentral.
GACGAACGCUGGCGGCGUGCUUAACACAUGCAAGUCGAACGGUGAAGCGCCUUCCUUUUUGGUGGGUGUGGAUGAGUGGCGAACGGGUGAGUAACACGUGAGUAACCUGCCCCCUUCUUCUGGAUAACCGCAUGAAAGUGUGGCUAAUACGGGAUAUUCUGGGUCUGUCGCAUGAUGGGUCUGGGAAAGAUAUUGUUUCGGUGGGGGAUGGGCUCGCGGCCUAUCAGCUUGUUGGUGGGGUGAUGGCCUACCAAGGCGGUGACGGGUAGCCGGCCUGAGAGGGUGGACGGUCACACUGGGACUGAGACACGGCCCAGACUCCUACGGGAGGCAGCAGUGGGGAAUAGUGCACAAUGGGCGCAAGCCUGAUGCAGCGACGCCGCGUGAGGGAUGGAGGCCUUCGGGUUGCGAACCUCUUUCGCCAGUGAAGCAGGCCUGCCUCGUUUGUGGGUGGGUUGACGGUAGCUGGAUAAGAAGCGCCGGCUAACUACGUG